RNAcentral lists this transfer RNA (97 nucleotides) under Calditrichota bacterium. RNAcentral describes it as "Calditrichaeota bacterium (activated sludge metagenome) tRNA-Sec". It matches the Rfam family "Selenocysteine transfer RNA". RNAcentral also lists the same sequence under 1 other name. Lineage: Bacteria; Pseudomonadati; Calditrichota. The record is from RNAcentral.
GGAGGUGGUUGGGGACCGGUGUCUCCCCCGGCCUUCAAAGCCGCGCGAGUCGCGAUCGAUCGGGACUGGUGGGUUCGACUCCCACGCACCUCCGCCA